ACAGGUGGUGCAUGGUUGUCGUCAGCUCGUGUCGUGAGAUGUUGGGUUAAGUCCCGCAACGAGCGCAACCCUCCGCCUCUAGUUGCCAGCAUUCGGUUGGGCACUCUAGGGGGACUGCCGGCGACAAGUCGGAGGAAGGUGGGGAUGACGUCAAGUCCUCAUGGCCCUUAUAUCCAGGGCUACACACGUGCUACAAUGGGCGGUACAAAGGGUCGCGAACCUGUAAAGGGGAGCUAACCCCAGAAAACCGUUCUCAGUUCGGAUUGGAGUCUGCAACCCGACUCCAUGAAGUUGGAAUCGCUAGUAAUCGCGGAUCAGAACGCCGCGGUGAGUACGUUCCCGGGCCUU
RNAcentral lists this ribosomal RNA (348 nucleotides) under uncultured Syntrophorhabdus sp. RNAcentral's name for it is "bacterial SSU rRNA". It matches the Rfam family "Bacterial small subunit ribosomal RNA", at positions 1034 to 1382 of the family's 1533-position model. Lineage: Bacteria; Pseudomonadati; Thermodesulfobacteriota; Syntrophorhabdia; Syntrophorhabdales; Syntrophorhabdaceae. The record is from RNAcentral.